GGGGGGGGGGGGGGGGGGGCGGGGGGGGGGGGGGGGGGGGGGCGGCGGGGUGGGGGGGUGCUCUUACGGGUGGCGAGUGGCGGACGGGGGAGGGGGACCGCGGCGUCUACUUUGUCGUGGGGGGUGCCGUAGGGAAACUUCCGCUAAUACCGCAUCCGACCUACGGGUGAAAGCAGGGGGUCUUCGGACCUUGCGCGAUUGAAUGAGCCGAUGUCGGAUUAGCUAGUUGGCGGGGUAAAGGCCCACCAAGGCGACGACCCGUAGCUGGUCUGAGAGGAUGUUCAGCCACACUGGAACUGAGACACGGUCCAGACUCCUACGGGAGGCAGCAGUGGGGAAUAUUGGACAAUGGGCGCAAGCCUGAUCCAGCCAUACCGCGUGGGUGAAGAAGGCCUUCGGGUUGUAAAGCCCUUUUGUUGGGAAAGAAAAGCAGCAGGUUAAUACCCCGCUGUUCUGACGGUACCCAAAGAAUAAGCACCGGCUAACUUCGUG
This 492-nucleotide ribosomal RNA is filed under the name uncultured bacterium. RNAcentral describes it as "partial 16S ribosomal RNA". It matches the Rfam family "Bacterial small subunit ribosomal RNA", at positions 38 to 507 of the family's 1533-position model. The record is from RNAcentral.